RNAcentral lists this ribosomal RNA (462 nucleotides) under uncultured bacterium. RNAcentral describes it as "bacterial SSU rRNA". It matches the Rfam family "Bacterial small subunit ribosomal RNA", at positions 28 to 521 of the family's 1533-position model. The record is from RNAcentral.
GAUGAACGCUAGCAGAACGCCUAACACAUGCAAGUCGAACGAACCAGCAAUGGUUAGUGGCAAACGGGCGAGUAACGCGUAUCUAACCUACCCUUGAGUGAGGCACAACUACAGAGAUGUAGCUAAUUCCUCAUACGUUCUAGAGAAUGAAAAUAUCUAGAAGAAAGAUUUAUCGCUCAGGGAGGGGGGUGCGUCCUAUCAGGUAGUUGGUGAGGUAAUAGCUCACCAAGCCUAUGACGGGUAGCCGGUCUGAGAGGAUGUCCGGCCGCAAUGGAACUGAGAACGGUCCAUACUCCUACGGGAGGCAGCAGUGGGGAAUAUUGGACAAUGGGCGAAAGCCUGAUCCAGCGAUUCUGCGUGAAGGAUGAAGCCUUAUGGGGUGUAAACUUCUUUUCUGGGGGGAAGACGAAUGACGGUACCUCAGGAAUAAGAGACGGCUAACUACGUGCCAGCAGCCGCGGU